AUGUUUUGCGUAGACGCGUGCGAUCGUUACAGAAACACACAGGCAAAGACUGUCGGGUCAUUCCGGGAAUCCGCACAGCGCCGCGCUCUCGCAGCGCCGAGACGUAAUGACGGCCGGGCGCUUAACGGCCGCGCGCCCAACGGUCACGUGCUCGCGCGCCGCCCAACGGCCGCGGGCCGGGGGCGGCGGUGGGCGGGGCGCUCUCCCCUUUCCGCCGCGCCGCCGUCCUCUGCGCGUCACUUCCGGGUGCCGUCUCGCCGCCGCCGCCGCCGCCAGGAUGAUCCCGCCGGUGCAGGUGUCGCCGCUCAUCAAGCAAGUGAAGAUUCCAUAUUGAAAUGAACAAAAGACUGGAUCAUACCUUCAUUCAUGGAAGUAUCUGGCUAGGCUCUGAACAGUUUAACUCUGCAUGUUAUUCUAUCAAUAAAGUACUUAUAACACUCUGGCUGUUUUUGUUG
This 455-nucleotide long non-coding RNA is filed under the name Apteryx owenii (little spotted kiwi). Its description in RNAcentral is "lncRNA (ENSAOWG00000017190.1)". Lineage: Eukaryota; Metazoa; Chordata; Aves; Apterygiformes; Apterygidae. The record is from RNAcentral.